This 292-nucleotide ribosomal RNA is filed under the name uncultured bacterium. RNAcentral's name for it is "partial 16S ribosomal RNA". It matches the Rfam family "Bacterial small subunit ribosomal RNA", at positions 505 to 796 of the family's 1533-position model. The record is from RNAcentral.
GUGCCAGCAGCCGCGGUAAUACGUAGGGGGCAAGCGUUGUCCGGAUUCACUGGGUGUAAAGGGUGCUCAGGCGGACUUGUAAGUCAGAGGUGAAACUCCGAAGCUUAACUUCGGAACUGCCUUUGAUACUGCAAGUCUCGAGUACGGGAGAGGGUAAUGGAAUAACAGGUGUAGCAGUGAAAUGCGUAGAUAUCUGUUAGAACACCAAUGGCGAAGGCAGUUGCCUGGCCCGUUACUGACGCUAAAGCACGAAAGUGUGGGUAGCAAACAGGAUUAGAUACCCCCGUAGUCC